Molecule: long non-coding RNA, 1976 nt
Organism: Portunus trituberculatus (swimming crab)
Lineage: Eukaryota; Metazoa; Arthropoda; Malacostraca; Decapoda; Portunidae
Exons: 2
Source: RefSeq, a predicted model, not a curated record
GGGAACGGCGCUUUCUUGGUGACCGGGAUCUGUGCCGUCUUGAGCUGGGGGACCGGGAGCGACUGCGGUGCCGAGACCUGUGGACAAAACUACACAUUGUAGACCAAACCCUGGGAAGAGAAAACCAAUCAUAAAAACAGUGAGAUAAAUAUGCAAGAGAAAAGUGCCACCAAACCGACCUUUCUCAUCAUCUUAUGGCGGUAGUGUGCUACUUGACGGUGGAUGGAGUAACCGGGCUUAAGGGAGCGCAGGCCUUGCUCCAGCUCAUCCUGGUACUGCAACACCCGGAUCUCCACUUCACGUAGCCUUGCCCGCCGCUCCUCACUCACGUCACUGUAGAGAAAACACAAUGUUCAGCACGUGAUGCUUCCAGGCCAAACAUCACCCUACUUCACCAACUCCACUAUUGUAAGUACAGACUCAACAAUGUUAUCACAACUGAAUGUAAAGCUUAAGAUCUUUAUAAAUCACAGGCAAGAUAUCAACACUCAAUUAUGUAAUGCAAAAGUGUAAAAUGAGUUGACAUAACUGAUGAUAAAAUACUUCACUGAUUAUUUUGUAACAAGAUCAGUAGUAGCCAAAGGACCUAAAUCAUUCUUGCAAUAUGAUAAAAAAGAAUUAUUGCAUGAGCCAUGUGUAAGAUAUUAAAGUAACAAAUUCAAGUUAACAAAGAUUUUUCUAACCAAACAAAUUGUUUUUGAAGUUCACGCUUUCUUCAUGGUGUUGAAGAGAAAACUGGCAUAUCAUCUACUGAGUUUUUAAGUAAAGUGCAUGUGAUAUGGACCUUCAAUAUUUCAUACAAGAUUCUCAAGACUGGAAAUUUUUCUUUGUCAAGUGCACAGACUUCCAAAAAUAGAUUAUGAACCUGAGUAACUUUUAAUUCAUAUAAAGAUAGACAUGUAUUGACCAUAUUACUGAUGUUCAUUUAGUUAAUACAAUAGCAUUUAUAAUUUGCAGUCCAGUUAAGUAAUGAAGUAGAAGGCUCCAAACAUCUCAUGUUUACCCUUGAAGUCUGUCAAAUCCUCUGGAAUCUUCAGAGUAUUCGGAACCAUUGUCUUGUGAUUGUGAGUCUUCCUCGGAGGAGCCUCGUUUCUUGCGCUUGUAGUCAUCAUAUACCAAAGGGAUGCCGUCAAGGUCAUCCUCAUCUGCAGUGAACAAGACAGUGCAAUAGAUCUGUUCUAACAGAAACUGAAGAACUGUCCUCAUUUGCUCUUUGCAGCACAAUGAAAAUGUACCUUGAUCACCUUUUUAUAUAAAUAACCAAGUAACCUCAACCAUUGUAAGAAUUGUUUCCUGCAAUACAAAUAAGUAUUUCAUGUUUAUAAGUUUUCAUAUUUUCCUUAAUUCUUUCCUUAAUAUAAAAAACAUUGAAAGACCAAAAGAAAACAAAAGAAAGAGGAAGACUAACAAUUACUAAAACUCCUAGAAGUUACUAAACAAAAUUAACCAGUAAACAGCUGUACACUUCUCACUCACGCUGUGCAUCUCUUGGAAACAAAUUCUACUCGUUUCCUCAAGUGCAUAUCCUGGAUUAUAUAUUUUGUAAACAAUUUAGUCCCUUACUUCUAAUUUUUCAUCUUGACUAGUCAUGCAAAUUCUAUCAUUAGUCUGUUACUUGUCGUGAGUAGUAAAGACAAGCAUGGGAAGGUUACUGAGCAACAAAUUAAUACUCCUACCAACCUUCUCACUGGUGUAAAGAUAUGCUUCAUUGCAUUGCAAAUAUUAUCAUGACAAAAGUAAAUUAUUGGGGAUUUAAAAGUUGUGCCUACCUUGACAGAACCACUCACCAUGACUGUUGUGACUGGUUUGUGUGUGGGUGCCAGAGUUGUCAUACACUGGGGUGCUAUCUGAACCAUUGGCUCCCUCAUCCUCACUCUGGUUGGCCUCCACUACUUCCCACUUAGAGGUGGUGACAGCCUGCAAAACCCAAAUGUUAUGCUAUACUGUUCAGGAAGCACAUUGCGAUAAGAAAAAGA